UGCUCAGGCUCAAUGCCUCACCUUGGGGCUGCACAUCAAAAUCCUACCCACCCUUCAAGACCUGAAAAGGUUGCCCACCUCUUCUGAGAAACCUUCCCAGAUCUUCCCACAAUCACCUUUAUUUUCACCCCUGAGUCACUUUUGUGGAAAAUGAAUCAAGAGACUCCCUGAUGGACUCUAGCUGUCUCAGGGCAGUGUUUCCAUGGCCUUGUUCAGGCCAUGUCUCAGUUCCUCCCCUGGUGCCUGGCUUAUUACCUUAAAUGAAAUGGUCCUUUGGGACUCUACUUCUGCCAUGGAUUAAACGUGCACCUCUUCCUAAGAUUCUUAUCUGGUCCCUGCUGUGAUGGUUUUUGAGGAUGAGGCCUUUGGGAACUAACUAUGUGACAUAGGAGGAGCCCUCAGAAUUAGUGUCCUCAUAAGAAGAGACAGGAGCGAGCUUGUCUUCUCUGUCCUCCACUCUGUGAGGACUUGGCAAGAAGACAGCAAACCAGGAAGAGGGCUCUCACCAGAACCUGACCAAGCUGGACCCUGAUGGUGGACUUCCCAGCUUCCAGAACAGUGAGAAGCUCCUCUGCUAUUUUCCACGGACCCUUCUGUGGCCCUGAUACAGCUCUGAGGACCACCUGGACACACCCACCCCUGAGAUCCUGGCAUGGAGUCUGAACUGGGCGGAAGUCUCCGCACUGCCUCUUCUCAGCUGCCUCCAUUGGGCAAGUUGCUUUACCUCUGAACAGUUUCCUCAGCAGAGAAGGGUCGCUGUGAGGACUGAGAAUGUGGGGUUGAGCGCAUCUCACCCACUGCACCAGGCUCUCCAAACACGAGCGCCACCGUGGCAGCCCUCUCCCACUCUCCAGUGCCACUCUGGCCAAGCUCCGGGCACCUGCCCAAAUGCCGGUUCUGCCGGUUCUGUGGACUCCACCUGCCAUUCGGGCCCCUGAGGAUGUCCUAGAAAGUACUUUUGCAACCUCUCUAGGUUAACAGCUCAAAAUCUCCAGACGCUUCUGAUUACCUGGUCCCUUGUGAGCACGCCAUGGUUUUCUUCCUUAAAUUCUUGAAAAGAAAAAAAGGUUUGAAUGGCAGUCAGGACUGGCAGAAGCUGGACUCUCAUUGUGAGCCAAGGAAGGAGGCUGUGAGAGGAAAUGGAAGAAAGUGGAUAUGCCGAUAGCCAGGCUGGUGCUUUUCCAGGUCCACGUUUAGAACAUCUCAGCUGGAGAGGAUCCGUUGUCCAAUGCUCAUGUGCUGCCGCAGGAAGAGGCGCCCAGGAUGAAGGGUGCUCCCACACAAUGAGCAGGGUCACACGGGAACACCUGGACACUUCGUCCCAGCCAGGGGACCAGGGGCCACCUCCCCUAACUCGGAUGGCAGAACCCCUUCCUGUCAUCUGUUGGCUCCCGUGACUCCAGGGCAGGCUGGAGUGUCCGUGGUGCACGGGUGCUCCGGAACGGCAGCCGCUGCCCACGCAUCCUGCCUUGCCCUGCGUGUUCCUGCUGCCCCUGCCGUCUUCACCCCAGGCCCUGGCUCCCUGCUGGACCUCCCCCGCGCCAGGCGCUCACCCACACUGGCUUCCAGCCGCGGCCACCCUGGGAAUGGUCUCAUGGGGUGGAAAGCUCUUAGGAUACUUUACUGGGACUAGAAUUUCAUUGUGGAAAAUCUCCCCAGGCUCCAACCGCUGACUCAUCCCUUG
This is a long non-coding RNA of Sciurus carolinensis (gray squirrel), 1684 nucleotides long. RefSeq lists it as uncharacterized. Lineage: Eukaryota; Metazoa; Chordata; Mammalia; Rodentia; Sciuridae. The transcript is spliced from 3 exons. The record is from RefSeq and is a predicted model, not a curated record.